CUUAAGUGAAUACAUAGGAGUCAGUUUAUCUAUGAAUUGAUUGAUCAGUAGCUGCUAUUAUAUUAAAGUAGCCAUCUAUAAGUUCAAAGUCAUAAUUAUAUGUUCCUAUUAACCAUUUUAUAAUUGCUAAUAAUGGUAUUUAACAUGCUAACUGCUACGUUGAUGCUAGAAUCAAAUCUUUCUUUCUAGUUUGGAACCUUGAAUUAUUGCUCAAAACAAAUUAAAGUGCGUACUAAUGUCUUCUUAUCUCCUCAGAUUCCCACACAUGUUUGUUUGAUAACAGACUUUUGCCCUGGUGGAGAGUUGUUUAACCUGCUUGAUAAGCAACCUCUGAAAUUUUUCAAAGAAGAAUCUGCAAGGUAAUGAUCGCAACAUAAACAUAAAAAUUUCCCUAACCAUCACAAAUUAAAAAGUGAGUAUUUGGAUAGCUUGGCUAUAAUAUUUGAUCACUUCACACUAUAAUUAGUUUGGGUCAGGAAAUUUGAUUUCACCGCCAGGUUCUUUUCUGACGACGGAUUGAUUCCUAGCAGUUUUCCUAGUGAAUGUUCCUUUUCAAGUUUUAAAUCUGAAUUACUAAAUGUCUAAAUCAUUAUGGAUAUCUGAACAGAUAUUUCUUGUGCCUGCUAUUCUUACCACUAAGUUAUUUGUUUCCAGGUUCUAUGCAGCUGAGGUUGUCAUUGUUUUGGAAUAUCUUCAUUGUCUAGGUAUCUUAAUAAACUGAAAACAGAUAUAUUUCCCUUUAUUAAAACUUUUUUUCCACCUUGCACUUUAUGAACUCAAGUUGCAAGAAUAUGUUUUCAUCUUUUUAUGGUUUAUAACAGGAAUAAUAUAUAGAGACCUGAAGCCAGAAAAUAUUUUACUUCAGAAGGAUGGCCACAUUGUACUAACCGACUUUGAUUUAUCUUUUAUGACAUCUAGUAAAUCCCAAGUAUGUCAAAAUAAAAUUUUUUGAUGUUUUACUUGAUAUUUGAUAAGACUGUUGAUAAAUAAUGAUAAUUUUUUUCUUAAGAUAAAAGUUUAAAAUGAUUUACAGGUUUUAAAGUAUCCCAUGCCUAAGAGAAGAAGAUCCAGGAGUCAACCACUUCCAACAUUUGUUGCAGAGCCAUCUACACAGUCGAAUUCAUUUGUUGGAACUGAAGAAUACAUUGCUCCAGUAUAAUGACUCUAUUCAAUCCAUGCCUAAUGUUCAUAAGUUCAAUUGCAUUCAUAACAGAUGCAACAAAGUAACAUGUUUCCUUUACUGUAAUCUGUUUGGAUACCUAUGUUUCAGGAAAUUAUUACUGGUGCGGGACACAGUAGUAGCAUUGAUUGGUGGGCUCUUGGUAAGUAGAUGUUGAUACUGUAUAGUUUUUUUCUUUGGUUCUAUAGCAUUGUUUGUAUUCUGUUAAGAUGAGAUGAGAUGACAUACCUGGAUUUAUAAUCGGAAUUUAGGUAUUUUGCUGUAUGAGAUGCUCUAUGGCCGAACGCCUUUCCGAGGUAAAAACAGGCAGAAGACUUUCUCCAACAUCUUGAACAAAGAACUCACCUUCCCAAGUAGCAUUCCAGUACGUUUCUAAUCCAUCAAUGACAAAUAAUUUACAACAGAAGAUGACAUAACUUCCACCAUCUUUCUGAACAUGACAUGAUAGAAUUGCUCAGCAUAAUGUUAGCGGAACAUAUAAUCCUUAGGGAUUUUUAAACUACAAUCAAGAUGGUCUAUUUCAUGCAAAUUUUAACUAUUUAGAUUCUCCAUACGUUUUUAUUGUUUUCUAGAUCAUCAGAUGAAGUAAAAAACCAGCUUGUGUAAUGUGAUCAUUUACCUCUGCUGCUGAAAUGAUAUGCAGGUUAGUCUUGCAGCUAGGCAGUUGAUUAAUGCAUUGUUGAACCGAGACCCCUCCAGCCGUUUAGGGUCAAGAGCUGGUGCUGCUGAAAUUAAACAACACCCUUUCUUCCACGGCAUUAAUUGGUCUCUUAUACG
RNAcentral lists this long non-coding RNA (1957 nucleotides) under Gossypium barbadense (sea-island cotton). RNAcentral describes it as "long non-coding RNA (GBAR_LNC012241)". The record is from RNAcentral. Lineage: Eukaryota; Viridiplantae; Streptophyta; Magnoliopsida; Malvales; Malvaceae.